This 1785-nucleotide long non-coding RNA is filed under the name Piliocolobus tephrosceles (Ugandan red Colobus). RNAcentral describes it as "lncRNA (ENSPTEG00000010778.1)". Lineage: Eukaryota; Metazoa; Chordata; Mammalia; Primates; Cercopithecidae. The record is from RNAcentral.
GACGAAAAAGAAAAUAUAAAUAAAAAAACAGAUCAACAAAGCGAUAAUAAUUUGAGUAAUAACUAUUUUGAUCAUAAUAAAAAUGAUGUAAAAUGUAAAAAUGUAGAUAAAGAAAUAAAAAAAAAUAAUAAUUCUGACGAAAGUAGUAAAAAUAAAAAUAGUAAACAAAGCGAAGUAACAAAAUUGAAUGAAAAUAUAUUUCAUAUAGAACGUUUAAUGGAAUCAUGUACAAAUUACAACGAUUAUGUAAAAUAUGCAUAUUAUAUGGAUGUACUAACAGGUAAAUCAAUUCACAUUAAUGAAAACGAUGAUUAUAUCAAUAUGUAUGAUUUAAAUUUAUUAAAAAAAACUUCAGAAAAUAUAAAAAAUAAUUUAAAAAAUGAGGAUUUAUUAUUGUUAUUAGAGGAUAUAAAAAUGGCUACCUCUAUUCGAAUUAAAAAUAUAUUUCAAGAAAAAUAUUAUAGUAAAACAUAUUCAAGCCCUCAUAUUAUACUUAUAAUUUUUGUUAACAAUGUUAUGAAUGCUUUAAAUUAUAUAGAAAAUUAUGUAAAAAAAGAAAAAAAAAAUAAUAAUACAUAUAUAUAUUCGGAUGAAUAUUUACUUAUAAAAAAAUAUUUUAAAGAAAUAUUUAAACAAUGGGGAAACACAGCUUUAUUUCUGAGUGGUGGUGCAAUAUUAGGAUUGCACCAUUUUGGUGUUAUUGAAUCUUUUUUAAAAUGUUCAAUUAACUAUGAUUAUUUUCAAAAUAUGACUAGUUCAUAUUUAAAUGAUAAAUAUGACACUUUUCAUAAUGUAGGUGAUGGUGGUUAUGAUGGUUAUGGUAGUGAUGGUGAUGAUAUACAUGACGUUACCUACACUAGAAAAAAAAAAAAAAAAAAAAAAAAAAAAAAAAAAAAAAAUUUUGUAGAAAAAUAUGAAGAUAAUAUAUUACCUCAAAUUAUAUGUGGGACAUCAGCUGGUAGUAUUAUAGCUGCUUGGGUAUGUACUAGGACAAGUAAAGAAAUAGCCGAAGAAUUUAACAUCGGAUUUAUUUAUAAAAUUGUAUCUUGUUUUACAACACAAAACUCUUUUUAUUCAUUUUUUAAUAUUUACAAAAAAGGUAGUUUUUAUGAUAUUGAUCAUAUGGUAAAACUUAUAUAUGAUUUGUUUGGAGAUUUAACUUUUUUAGAAGCUUUUCUUAAAACAAAAUUAGUUUUAAAUAUUACUCUUACUAGAGCUGAAUCAGAAAAUAAUAAUUUUGCAUGUAAUGAAGAUGGUAUUUUAGUAUUAAAUUACAUUAAUGCUCCUAAUAUUUUAGUUUAUACUGCAGUUUUGGCUAGUUGUUCUUUCCCAUACCUAUUACAACCUUUUAAAUUGUUAGAAAAAAAAUAUAAUAACGAAAAUGUUUAUCGAUUUAUACCUAUGCAAGAAACAAUUAAAACAAAUUCUAUUAUUAACACUAUUAGACAUUUGAAUUUUUAUAAUACAAGCUUAAUUACAAAAAGCAAACUGAUAUCUUUUCAUAAUAACAAAUUGGGUCAUAAUCAUGAAUUAUCUGACAAAAACAAAGAGAUGGACGAUUUAUUAUUAAAAAGUAACACGAAAUAUGUAAAAAGUUCUAACAAUAAAAAUUUGUGUAAGCUUAAAACGAAUAGUACAAAUUAUAAUGAUGAAAUAAAAAAAAAAAAAAAAAAAAAAAAAAAUUCUAUUGAAUUAUAAUAGUGACACGUAUACAAAAAAGGCAUCAAACACAAAAACUACAAUUUUGAAAAUAAAUACCUUAACAAACAAUAAUGAUGAAAAAUU